UACGUAGGGGGCGAGCGUUGUCCGGAUUCAUUGGGCGUAAAGAGCUCGUAGGCGGUUCGGCAAGUCGGGUGUGAAAACUCCAGGCUCAACCUGUAGACGCCACCCGAUACUGCUGUGACUCGAGUCCGGUAGGGGACCACGGAAUUCCUGGUGUAGCGGUGAAAUGCGCAGAUAUCAGGAGGAACACCGGUGGCGAAGGCGGUGGUCUGGGCCGGCACUGACGCUGAGGAGCGAAAGCGUGGGGAGCGAACAGG
Molecule: ribosomal RNA, 254 nt
Filed under: uncultured bacterium
Lineage: Bacteria
Description: partial 16S ribosomal RNA
Rfam family: Bacterial small subunit ribosomal RNA
Source: RNAcentral